CAACUUUUAACAACGGAUCUCUUGGUUCUCGCAUCGAUGAAGAACGUAGCAAAGUGCGAUAACUAGUGUGAAUUGCAUAUUCAGUGAAUCAUCGAGUCUUUGAACGCAUCUUGCGCUCAAUGGUAUUCCAUUGAGCACGCCUGUUUCAGUAUCAAU
RNAcentral lists this ribosomal RNA (156 nucleotides) under Mucor irregularis. Its description in RNAcentral is "5.8S ribosomal RNA". It matches the Rfam family "5.8S ribosomal RNA". Rfam says of the family: 5.8S ribosomal RNA (5.8S rRNA) is a component of the large subunit of the eukaryotic ribosome. It is transcribed by RNA polymerase I as part of the 45S precursor that also contains 18S and 28S rRNA. The record is from RNAcentral. Lineage: Eukaryota; Fungi; Mucoromycota; Mucoromycetes; Mucorales; Mucoraceae.